GACGAACGCUGGCGGCGUGCUUAACACAUGCAAGUCGAACGGAAAGGCCCUGCUUUUGUGGGGUGCUCGAGUGGCGAACGGGUGAGUAACACGUGAGUAACCUGCCCUUGACUUUGGGAUAACUUCAGGAAACUGGGGCUAAUACCGGAUAGGAGCUCCUGCUGCAUGGUGGGGGUUGGAAAGUUUCGGCGGUUGGGGAUGGACUCGCAGCUUAUCAGCUUGUUGGUGGGGUAGUGGCUUACCAAGGCUUUGACGGGUAGCCGGCCUGAGAGGGUGACCGGCCACAUUGGGACUGAGAGACGGCCCAGACGCCUACGGGAGGCAGCAGUGGGGAAUAUUGCACAAUGGGCGGAAGCCUGAUGCAGCAACGCCGCGUGCGGGAUGACGGCCUUCGGGUUGUAAACCGCUUUCGCCUGUGACGAAGCGUGAGUGACGGUAAUGGGUAAAGAAGCACCGGCUAACUACGUG
This 468-nucleotide ribosomal RNA is filed under the name uncultured bacterium. Its description in RNAcentral is "partial 16S ribosomal RNA". It matches the Rfam family "Bacterial small subunit ribosomal RNA", at positions 28 to 507 of the family's 1533-position model. The record is from RNAcentral.